RNAcentral lists this ribosomal RNA (786 nucleotides) under Heterodera koreana. RNAcentral's name for it is "eukaryotic LSU rRNA". It matches the Rfam family "Eukaryotic large subunit ribosomal RNA", at positions 344 to 964 of the family's 3401-position model. The record is from RNAcentral. Lineage: Eukaryota; Metazoa; Nematoda; Chromadorea; Rhabditida; Heteroderidae.
ACAAGUACCGUGAGGGAAAGUUGCAAAGCACUUUGAAGAGAGAGUUAAAGAGGACGUGAAACCGAUGAGGUGGAAACGGACAGAGCUGGCGUAUCUGGCCUGUAUUCACCCGUUGGCUGCUGUUCACUGGGCUGUCUGUCUCCAGACUGGGGCAGCUGUCUGAUUGUCUUCAGUGGCUGAUGGGGCAUUUGCAGGUGGAGUGCGCCGAGAUGCUCGGGGCAGCUGCAUGAGAUCGGCUCUGAGGCCAGCCCUUCGGGGUCUGGUACCCGGGCCGGUGGAGUGUUGUUUGUCCUGGGUGCCCAAUCGUGCAAUGGUUACCGGGUGUCUGUCGGUUCGGGCCGGCUGCUGGUGGCGGUCGCGUGCGACACGUAUCAGUGGUUAGUCUGGGCUGGCCGGUGCUCUCAGUUGUGCGUUCUCGGUGUAAAAGCCGGUCUUCUGUUCGACCCGUCUUGAAACACGGACCAAGGAGUUUAGCGUAUGCGCGAGUCAUUGGGUGUCGAAAACCCAAAGGCGCAAUGAAAGUAAAGGCGUCCUUAUGGAGCUGAUGUGUGAUCCCGAGUGCUUCGGUGCGAGGGAGCAACAUAGUCCCGUCUCGAUUGCAUGCAAUGGGGCGGAGACAGAGCGUAUGCGCUGAGACCCGAAAGAUGGUGAACUAUUCCUGAGCAGGAUGAAGCCAGAGGAAACUCUGGUGGAAGUCCGAAGCGAUUCUGACGUGCAAAUCGAUCGUCUGACUUGGGUAUAGGGGCGAAAGACUAAUCGAACCAUCUAGUAGCUGGUUCCUUCCGA